Labrus bergylta (ballan wrasse) is the source of this 1688-nucleotide non-coding RNA. NCBI's taxonomy places the organism in Eukaryota, Metazoa, Chordata, Actinopteri, Labriformes, Labridae. The record is from RefSeq and is a predicted model, not a curated record.
UCAAAAGUAUAUUGGCUGGUCUAAUAUCAUUUAUGGAUGGUAUAUUACACAGAAAUUUCCCGGAAUAUGCAAGAUUUCAAAAACGGUUAUUUAUGAACAGUUAUCAGUAACAGGUAUUGAUGUGCUCUAUUUCCUUGUUUUUAUUUCACAGUCCUGGUUAAUCUUUAUUCAAAAACUUCUUAUCAAUGUUUCUCACAGUGCAACUGAUAAUAAAAACAACACAUGUUGGUAUUAUAUAGACUUUCGAUUUAAAAGAAUGGUCUUCCUUAUUUUGUGUUAUGGGAAAGUUUGGCCUAAGGGAGGGGUUAUCCAAUCUAAAUGAGACCUAUAAACCCAAGGCUGGUGUUAUUAUUAAGAGCAAAGUCCAUGAAUCAAUACCAGCCUCUAUGGCGAUCAUAACGGCUCUAAGUUUAAAUUCUGGUCAGAAUAUACCAAACUUGUCUGACCUCCUGUACUAAUACCAGAAAAAAAGACAUUUACCUGAAGUUAGCUAACAUGAGCUACUCCAGAUAUCUAUCAUAACAUCAUUACUUCUUAGAGAUGACAAUUGCUGUACGUGGAGAAUAUAUUUUUUGUUUGCUUUGAUUUUUGUUGAUGUUGAUGUAAACAAACAAAAAAAUCUAGUCUUAUGAAGAGCGAAACUUUGUCAAAUCCCUGAUUAUGAACUACGACCAUACAGAGAGUGACCUGGAUUGGACUCAGUGACAUCCACAAAGAAGGCAAAUGGAUGUGGUCUGAGGGCUGCCAGCCAAUUCUUCUUUCAGGCAGCAGGAGAGCCAAACUCACCUGUUACUCCGUUUUUAACGUGUCAGCUCAAACGCACGUGUACACACGUGUUAAUAGUAAGGUGUACACUUUCAUUUGUGAGUAGAGAAGUCACUUUAAUGAUGAAUGUGGGACAUUCACACAGCGAGUUCUAGUGGCACUUCUACAUGUGAAUAUUUCCAAAGCAUUUUAAAUGUCUAAGAGUGUAUUAUUCAUAAUAAAAAGGAUUAUAAUAUUCCAGUCAGUGUACAAAAUAAACUUUUACUAUGAAUUCAAAUGAAGCCAUACACGGUACAUAUAAAGACUAUGUAUGUUCAUUUUAAAAAUGUAUGUCUGCUACAGCCGUCAAUCAUUCAUUCUGUAUAAUGUGUGUCUGUUUGUGUUGAAUUUUGAAUCAGAAAUGUGGUGAUUGGACAGUUCUGUGUUUUUUUUCCUUGUUUGGUGCUUGUGUUUUUGUUCUUUCAGAGGCUGGGUGUGGCUUAUCGGCUGCUGGAGCUCUCUGCAAUCACUCACCUGUUCAUCAUCUGUAAUCACCGGCUGCAGCAUUUAUACCCUGGUUCAACUCUCCCAAACUGCCAGAUUAUUUCCGCCUACUCAGAGUGCCUUCAACUACCGAGCAGCAGCGCCUCACCACCCAGCCUCUCAUUCAAGCCUCAUGUCAAUAAAUACCCCUUUACCCACCACCCUGUUUUCCAGUUUUGCUUUUGGGUCCACUAACAAACAUUUAAGGCCAUAACACAGAAAUAAACUGCUUUUGGACAGUCAUGCCAUUCGCAAGGAUUAUAAAAAUACCUACAGACUGAAGUUACUGUACAGUAAUGUGUCCUGCUGAAGUGAUAUAUAAAGUCUUCAUGAUGAAGAUAUGUGCAUGUGUGUACAUAGUUAUUUGAUUGACCUUUGUUUGUAAAUAUCAAAGGAAAGUA